UACGUAGGGUGCGAGCGUUAAUCGGAAUUACUGGGCGUAAAGCGUGCGCAGGCGGGUGUGUAAGUCAGAUGUGAAAUCCCCGGGCUUAACCUGGGAACUGCGUUUGAAACUACAAGGCUAGAGUGUAGCAGAGGGGGGUGGAAUUCCACGUGUAGCAGUGAAAUGCGUAGAGAUGUGGAGGAACACCGAUGGCGAAGGCAGCCCCCUGGGUUAACACUGACGCUCAGGCACGAAAGCGUGGGGAGCGAUCCGG
This 253-nucleotide ribosomal RNA is filed under the name uncultured bacterium. RNAcentral's name for it is "partial 16S ribosomal RNA". It matches the Rfam family "Bacterial small subunit ribosomal RNA", at positions 524 to 776 of the family's 1533-position model. The record is from RNAcentral.